This 447-nucleotide ribosomal RNA is filed under the name uncultured bacterium. RNAcentral describes it as "bacterial SSU rRNA". It matches the Rfam family "Bacterial small subunit ribosomal RNA", at positions 330 to 793 of the family's 1533-position model. The record is from RNAcentral.
GCCAGACUCCUACGGGAGGCAGCAGUGGGGAAUAUUGCACAAUGGGGGAAACCCUGAUGCAGCGACGCCGCGUGAGUGAAGAAGUAUUUCGGUAUGUAAAGCUCUAUCAGCAGGGAAGAAAAUGACGGUACCUGAUUAAGAAGCCCCGGCUAACUACGUGCCAGCAGCCGCGGUAAUACGUAGGGGGCAAGCGUUAUCCGGAUUUACUGGGUGUAAAGGGAGCGUAGACGGUGAUGCAAGUCAGAAGUGAAAGCCCGGGGCUCAACUCCGGGACUGCUUUUGAAACUGUGUGACUGGAGUGCAGGAGAGGUAAGCGGAAUUCCUAGUGUAGCGGUGAAAUGCGUAGAUAUUAGGAGGAACACCGGUGGCGAAGGCGGCUUACUGGACUGUAACUGACGUUGAGGCUCGAAAGCGUGGGGAGCAAACAGGAUUAGAUACCCCAGUAAG